RNAcentral lists this ribosomal RNA (320 nucleotides) under uncultured Prevotella sp. Its description in RNAcentral is "bacterial SSU rRNA". It matches the Rfam family "Bacterial small subunit ribosomal RNA", at positions 28 to 339 of the family's 1533-position model. The record is from RNAcentral. Lineage: Bacteria; Pseudomonadati; Bacteroidota; Bacteroidia; Bacteroidales; Prevotellaceae.
GAUGAACGCUAGCUACAGGCUUAACACAUGCAAGUCGAGGGGCAGCAUGAAGUUUGCUUGCAAACUUUGAUGGCGACCGGCGCACGGGUGAGUAACGCGUAUCCAACCUUCCCUAUAGUAGAGAAUAGCCCGGCGAAAGUCGGAUUAAUGCUCUAUGUUAUUCAAAGCGGGCAUCUAAUUUGAAUCAAAGGUUCACCGCUAUAGGAUGGGGAUGCGUCUGAUUAGCUUGCCGGCGGGGUAACGGCCCACCGGGGCAUCGAUCGGUAGGGGUUCUGAGAGGAAGGUCCCCCACAUUGGUACUGAGACACGGACCAAACUCC